This 27-nucleotide non-coding RNA is filed under the name Rattus norvegicus (Norway rat). The record is from RNAcentral. Lineage: Eukaryota; Metazoa; Chordata; Mammalia; Rodentia; Muridae.
UACUGUUGCUGACUCUAAUAAAAUGAG